UACGUAGGGGGCAAGCGUUGUCCGGAUUUAUUGGGCGUAAAGCGCACGCAGGCGGUUCGCCAAGUUUGGAGUGACAGUUGUCGGCUCAACCGACAAAGGACUUCAAAAACUGGUGAACUUGAGGACGAGAGAGGAACAUGGAACUCCAGGUGUAGUAGUGAAAUGCGUAGAUAUCUGGAAGAACACCAAUGGCGAAGGCAAUGUUCUGGCUCGUUUCUGACGCUCAGGUGCGAAAGCCAGGGGAGCAAACGGG
Molecule: ribosomal RNA, 253 nt
Filed under: uncultured bacterium
Lineage: Bacteria
Description: partial 16S ribosomal RNA
Rfam family: Bacterial small subunit ribosomal RNA
Source: RNAcentral